GGCUAGUUAGUUCAGUUGGUUAGAGAGUGGUGCUGAUAACACCAAGGUCCAGGGUUCGAUCCCUGUCUGGCCA
Non-coding RNA from Galeopterus variegatus (Sunda flying lemur), 73 nucleotides. The record is from the annotation of a RefSeq genome assembly. NCBI's taxonomy places the organism in Eukaryota, Metazoa, Chordata, Mammalia, Dermoptera, Cynocephalidae.